Long non-coding RNA from Cygnus olor (mute swan), 1897 nucleotides. RefSeq lists it as uncharacterized. The transcript is spliced from 7 exons. NCBI's taxonomy places the organism in Eukaryota, Metazoa, Chordata, Aves, Anseriformes, Anatidae. The record is from RefSeq and is a predicted model, not a curated record.
GGAAGAGGAGGAGCCGUGAGGGGACGUGGAGGAGGAGGAGGAAGGCUCGGAGUUGCUGUGGCAACGGGCGGCCGCGGCUCCUCCGGGCCUUCGCUCCAUGAGGGGAUGGGGGGCUGGCGGGGGGGAGCCCCCCUCAGCGGCAGGGCUGCAGUUCUUGAUGUUUUUUUUUUUCUAUUGAUAGCAUCGGUUAAAAUGGGUCGGGGGAGCAAUAAUAAGGAAGGAAGUGAAGGAACGUCCGUGUGGGCGCUGGGGUACGGUCCCUGCUCGGCUGUGAGCAGUGCUCGCCGCAGGGAAGUCCUGCUGGGGGGAAUUGGUUGCGCCUCCUAGGAGACCUGAGGAAAAUGCUGCCCUUGUUACUGCCGCCCGUAGCUCUUAGGAGAAGCUUGGAAUUAAAUAGAUGCAGGGUUUUCUUUCAAAAUGUGCUCCUGAAUAAAUUAGUUUGCAUCCAGAAGUGGCAUCUGUUUCCCUUGGCUCAGAUACUUUUUGCAAGAUUUUAGGUACGCAGCUCACGUUGAAGCUUGGUGCCCGAUACCUGAGCGGUUUUGAAAAUCAGAACUAAAACAGGAAUACUUCUGGGCUGUGGGGUCAGUAACCCUGGGAGAGGGAGGGACAGACACUUAGACAUCACAUCUCAUGCGCGGAAAACUAAGUAUUUAGAGGAGCUAAGUGGCCUGCUAUCUAGUAAUUCCUGCCAUUCCACAGCAAACCUCUUUUAUACUUGAGGACUGAAGCAGCUGAAAACACUGGACACGUCUCUUUCUGUUGGAGGUCACUUGCUGAUUUAUCUCCAAUUCACAACUCAUUAGAAGAGAUCAGUUGAACAGAGGUCUUGGGAGCUGUUACCUGCUCAGACUUUAGAACUGCCAACAUGCAUUUGCCUGAGUUACCUCAGUGGUGGAGAGGAGAGGAUGAAUUCCAAACACAUCAUCCAGACUUCACAAGUCUGCAGAGAUCUCCAAAGUGAACUUCUCCAUCUGCGUUAGAAUCUGUGUGAUGAGUGGGGCACACAGUGCUCCAUUGUUUUGAGCUCCUCCAAACUCUGAAUUUUUUUUAACUCUGCAAGCUCUCAGUUUAUGAAACAUAUUAUGGCUGAAGAUAUAAAGAAGACAUUAAAGCUUUUGCCCACUUACAGCUAUUACUCUGGAGACAAACACAAAAAUUCUACUUGUUGUAUCUGUAUACCUCCCAGCUCUAAAAGUCUGAAGGACCCUAUUUUAAAUCUUCUUUUUCCUAAAUUACAUUUCCAUGGAAUACUUGGCUAUAGAUGAAUAGUUCUGCAGUUACAUGCCUCAUUUUGAAUAGUUUUAUGAGGGCCAAAGGUGCUUCCUUUUCCAGUUCUUUGGCUAGCUUGUCUUGUUUUAGCAGAUACAAUUUUUUAGCAUCUAAACGGGGAAAUCACCGUUAUUUACAGGAGAAGAAUCACAGAGCUGACAGGGGUUCCCCCCGCAAAGCACUCUCUGUGUAAUUGCUGAAGACAUUCCAAGCCACUCUAACGAAGUGUACUGUCUGCCAGUCAUUAUGCUCUUCUUGGAAGACCAUCUGUUGCAUUUCAAAUAUGUAAAGGUCUGCUUUUAUUUUUUGCACCAAACAAAUCAGUUUCUUUAUCUGACAUGGUAUAACUCGUGAAUAUGGACUAAAGGUAGUUUCAGUUGCAAAGUACAGGAUAUUCUCUUUUGUUGCACUGUGAAUGAAAGGUAGUCAUUAUGUAUCUCCAAAUUCAAAAGACAAACAUACUGAUUAAACUAAUUUCAGUGCUUUUGAAUGAUUUCAAUUUCUUUGGCAACAAAUUAUCAAUAACAACAACAAAAAAGUCUGAAAUAGAUUUUCUCUUAGCUCAGCCAUAAGCAUAUUGUAAGAUUUUUGCUUCUGGCAAAUGAACCUGUUAAUUGUAGUGGUA